Molecule: RNA transcript, 3760 nt
Organism: Hyla sarda
Lineage: Eukaryota; Metazoa; Chordata; Amphibia; Anura; Hylidae
Gene: ADAMTSL2
Gene name: ADAMTS like 2
Exons: 20
Source: RefSeq, a predicted model, not a curated record
UUCCAGCAGGGUAAGCAGGUCAUCAGAAUCAGAGAUCACCGGGCACAGGAACACCAUUGUCUGGGGACUGGUUGGUGGGUUAUCUCUGUGGCUAGUGACUGGCUUAGUGGGCAGUUCCAGCAGGGUAAGCAGGUCAUCAGAAUCAGAGAUCACCGGGCACAGGAACACCAUUGUCUGGGCACUGGUUGGUGGGUUAUCUCUGUGGCUAGUGACUGGCUUAGUGGGCAGUUCCAGCAGGGUAAGCAGGUCAUCAGAAUCAGAGAUCACCGGGCACAGGAACACCAUUGGAUAGGUGUAUCAGGCAGAAAUGAUCUUUACCUAUAGGAACCUGCAACCCGUCCUAUUUAUUACCAGUCAAAGCCUGAGCAAAGCAUGGAUCCCUGUUCUUAUUCUUCUAGGAAACGUCACAUUUUCUAUCACACAAGACAUUGCUCAGGCAUCUAAUAGCCUGGAGGAUGGGACAGACGUGACAACGUUCUGGUGGGGAGAGUGGACGAAAUGGACUGCUUGUACUAGAACCUGCGGAGGAGGUGUAAAGUCUCAAGAAAGGCAUUGCCUUAGACAAAGGCGGAAAUCUCUCAGUUCACUCGGGAAUAAGAACUGCACCGGGACAUCCAAAAGAUAUCAGCUCUGUAAAGUCCAGGAAUGUCUGAGUAACAGCAGGAGUUUCCGAGAAGAACAGUGUACAUCUUUCAAUUCUCACGUGUAUAAUGGAAAAACCUAUCAAUGGAAACCACUCUAUCCCGAUGACUAUGUGCACAUCUCCAGCAAACCCUGUGACCUGCAGUGCACUACGGUUGAUGGCCAGAGACAACUCAUGGUCCAGGCUCGGGAUGGGACAUCCUGCAAAUACAGUGACUAUCGAGGGGUUUGCGUGUCUGGAAAAUGUGAGCCAAUUGGAUGUGACGGGGUUUUGUUCUCCACCCACACCCUGGAUAAAUGUGGUGUCUGCCAGGGAGAUGGGAGCAGCUGUGUCCACGUCACUGGGAAUUACAGGAAAGGAGCUUCCCAUCUUGGCUAUGCCCUAGUGACAUACAUCCCCAUUGGUGCAAGGGAUAUCCAGAUAGUCGAACGCAAGAAAUCUGCAGAUGUCUUAGCUGUUGCAGAUGAAUCUGGAUAUUACUACUUUAAUGGCAACUUCAAGGUUGACACCCCGAAAAAUUUUAAUAUUGCCGGCACUGUGUUUAAAUACCGAAGACCUAUGGAUGUGUAUGAGACCGGAAUAGAAUAUAUAGUAGCUCAAGGACCGACCAACCAAGGCUUGAACAUCAUGGUAUGGAACCAAAAUGGCAAAAAUCCUUCAAUCACUUUCCAAUAUACCCUCCUCAGGAGGCCACAUUCUCGGGUCACUCAGCCAAUCUAUUACCCCUUCUCAGACUCUGAGAGUGAAGAAAGUAAAGAGUUUGACGAGGACUUUACAUCUCAGAACAGAAGUAUCAGCAGUAAUGUGCAGAAAGGAAGAACUAAAGCGGAAACUCCAACCUUUGGAAUACCAAAUUCAGGGGAAAAUGCAAGCCCGGUCAAUGAGCAGCACACAAAUGAAGUGUAUGAAGCAGGAGAAGCCAUGGACUGUGAGAAGAAGGCAAAAUGCAAAGCAAUAAAAGAUUUGAGCACAAACAAGACUACUUACAUCACAGACACUGGAGACCAAGACUCCUCGCACAGAUUUAGCUCCAAGGAGUUUCUCCCUGGUAAUGUCAUUGCCAAGAAGAUUUCCAGCAAAGCCUCAGGAUCCAGGGAGACUUUCCAUCACCUCAACAAAAGUCUUGGAGAACCUUUGAACUCUGUGGAGGCCAACCUGGACAAUCUGUAUCCUGAUUAUGAGGAAAAUGAGGAAAUGGCUACAUUCGACUUGAACGUCACCUUCUUGGAGUUGAGCAUCAACACCUCAGCUGAGACCCAAUUGACCAACGCAACAGUUCCUUCUACAAAUCGUACCCAAAAAGUGAGAAAAGGGCCAAAGUUACUGAGGAAGGUUCAGGGGAUAAGCGCAGUGGACAUGUACCGAUGGAAGCUGUCUUCUCACGAGCCAUGCAGUGCCACGUGUACCACAGGCGUGAUGUCAAACUACGCCAUGUGCGUGCGAUACGAUGGAGUAGAAGUGGACGACUCACACUGUGACGCAUUGACCCGUCCCGAGCCCGUGCACGAGUUCUGUGCCGGGCGGGAAUGUCAGCCAAGGUGGGAGACAAGUAGCUGGAGUGAAUGUUCGCGGACGUGUGGUGAGGGCUACCAGUUCCGAAUUGUCAGAUGCUGGAAAAUGAUCUCUCCUGGGUUUGAUAGCUCAGUGUACAGCGACUUAUGUGAUUCUGCCGAUAUCACUAAACCAGAUGACAAGAAAGUGUGUAGAAACCCAACAUGUGGACCCCAAUGGGAAAUGUCAGAAUGGUCUGAGUGUACAGCAAAAUGUGGGGAGCGCAGCAUUGUCACCCGAGACGUGCGCUGUUCAGAAGAUGAAAAACUCUGCGACCCGAACACCAAGCCACCUUCAGAGAAGAACUGCACGGGACCUUCCUGUGACCGCCAAUGGACCGUAUCAGACUGGGGACCUUGCAGUGGAUCUUGUGGCCAAGGGAAGAUGAUAAGACACGUGUACUGCAAAACCAGUGAUGGCAGAGUGGUCCCUGAGUCCCAGUGCAAUCUAGAGACAAAGCCAUUGGCCAUCCAUCCAUGUGGGGACAAGAACUGCCCUGCGCAAUGGGUGAGCCAAGACUGGGAAAGGUGUAACACCACCUGUGGCAGGGGAGCAAAACAACGAGUGGUCCAUUGCCUUGAAGUGGCCAGUGGUAAAGUCAAGACUCGCAACCCUUCCGAUUGUGACAUUGCUAAGAAACCUGCGGAGGAGAGCACCUGCUUCGAGCGACCAUGCUUUAAGUGGUAUACUACGCCCUGGUCUGAGUGCAGCAAAACCUGUGGGGUUGGAGUCCGGAUGAGGGACGUCAAGUGCUUCCAGGGAAGAGACAUAGUUCGUGGCUGCGAUCUCUUGGUAAAGCCAAUUGGGAAACAGACCUGUGACCUGCAGCCUUGCCCUACUGAUCCUCCAGAUGACAGCUGUCAAGACCAGGCUGGAACAAAUUGUGCUUUGGCCAUUAAAGUGAAUCUGUGCAGUCACUGGUACUACAGCAAGGCCUGCUGCCGGUCCUGCCGCUCUGCCCAUUCAUAGGAACUUCCCUCUGUGAGACAGAGACACUGCAGGCAAAGGGAUACGUGACAGUACAUCCAGCCCGACCACCACACUUGGGGGCUUCAAAGAUCACCCGCUCGGUGGAGUACUCAAGGAAGUUUAGGUGGAACUGUAUCCCAAGAGAGUUUUAUUUGCUUUCAGGCUGAAGAAAAUAGACCCAUGCUGCUUUGUCACAAUAUGUAUUUUCUAAUUUAUCCUGUGUAAUUUUAUCAGAGACUUUUACCACGGACGGUCGACCUCUGGCGCUGCCGCCAUUGCGGAACUUCGUGAGGCCAGCUAAGCUAUUGGGUGUGAUGGCGUUUGGCAAUAGCCAGGAGCCCAGGGGUCAUCCAGUCUGACCUCUAACGCAUUCCACAUACGGAAAGAAGUUUAGUUAUUGUUCACAUGAACUUGUAAUAUGAAGGUGUAUACUUUUAGAAUGAUGUAUCCGUACAUACAACAGUUAUUCUCGUGAGCUGUACAGAAUUAUAAUCUUAUUACAGACUGACUAAUCUAAGGGUCCAACCCUCGAUGGGCAUCUUGAAGGCAACGACUCAAAGCUUCUUAUAAUCCACUUUUUGUCCAAUGAUUUUUUUU